Podarcis lilfordi (Lilford's wall lizard) is the source of this 72-nucleotide non-coding RNA. Lineage: Eukaryota; Metazoa; Chordata; Lepidosauria; Squamata; Lacertidae. The record is from the annotation of a GenBank genome assembly.
AGAGAUGUAGCUCAGCAGCAAAGCAGAUGCCUUGUGUGUAGAAGGUCCUGGGUUCAAUCCUCAGCAUCUUUG